CUACUCACAACGACAUGUAUACCUUCUAAGCUUUUUGCUCAUUGCUUAGUUUCCGCUCUUUUACGCCAUAAGUUGUCUUCGCUGCUUUUUUCAGUCAUCUGAUGAAAAAAAAUUUUUUUUCCUCAAGAAAACUUCCAACAACAGCUCAAAGCAAAAUAAGAUGGCAUUAGGGAACAGGAAUCUACCCAGUGGGAAAGUUUCCUCCACCCCAAGUCUCCUGGAGAGACACUGGCCAGGGCACCUGGACACCCAACUUCUCCAGAGAUGGCUGGGCCUCAGGCCUCCAGAGAGGAUGCGGGGCAGGUCGAGUGCUUCUGCACCGGGCUCACUUUGCGGUCACUUGCAUUGUAUUCUCAGGCUGACGGGUGUCUCUGCUGGGCUCCCCCAACUCUGUGGGCUCCUCACUGUCCUCCGGCUGUUUCCUACAGGGCAGGUGACCCAGCCCAUAACACUCCUGAAGGCAUGCGUGAGUGCACAGAACUGUUCUAACGAGUGUAUGUUUGAUCGCUUUAUAAAUUUUUAAAUACAUUUCCCUAAAAGGG
RNAcentral lists this long non-coding RNA (542 nucleotides) under Rattus norvegicus (Norway rat). RNAcentral's name for it is "long non-coding RNA NONRATT016205". The record is from RNAcentral. Lineage: Eukaryota; Metazoa; Chordata; Mammalia; Rodentia; Muridae.